Molecule: ribosomal RNA, 825 nt
Filed under: uncultured bacterium
Lineage: Bacteria
Description: bacterial SSU rRNA
Rfam family: Bacterial small subunit ribosomal RNA
Source: RNAcentral
AGAGUUUGAUCCUGGCUCAGAUUGAACGCUGGCGGCAGGCUUAACACAUGCAAGUCGAGCGGAAACGAUGGUAGCUUGCUACCAGGCGUCGAGCGGCGGACGGGUGAGUAAUACUUGGGAAUCUACCUAGUAGUGGGGGAUAGCACGGGGAAACUCGUAUUAAUACCGCAUACGACCUACGGGAGAAAGGGGGCAGUUUACUGCUCUCGCUAUUAGAUGAGCCUAAGUCGGAUUAGCUAGAUGGUGGGGUAAAGGCCUACCAUGGCGACGAUCUGUAGCUGGUCUGAGAGGAUGAUCAGCCACACCGGGACUGAGACACGGCCCGGACUCCUACGGGAGGCAGCAGUGGGGAAUAUUGGACAAUGGGGGAAACCCUGAUCCAGCCAUGCCGCGUGUGUGAAGAAGGCCUUUUGGUUGUAAAGCACUUUAAGCAGUGAAGAAGACUCUUCGGUUAAUACCCGGAGACGAUGACAUUAGCUGCAGAAUAAGCACCGGCUAACUCUGUGCCAGCAGCCGCGGUAAUACAGAGGGUGCAAGCGUUAAUCGGAAUUACUGGGCGUAAAGCGAGCGUAGGUGGCUUGAUAAGUCAGAUGUGGAAUCCCCGGGCUUAACCUGGGAACUGCAUCUGAAACUGUUAGGCUAGAGUAGGUGAGAGGGAAGUAGAAUUUCAGGUGUAGCGGUGAAAUGCGUAGAGAUCUGAAGGAAUACCGAUGGCGAAGGCAGCUUCCUGGCAUCACACUGACACUGAGGCUCGAAAGCGUGGGGUAGCAAACAGGAUUAGAUACCCUGGUAGUCCACGCCGUAAACGAUGUCUACUAGUCGUUG